UACGUAGGUCCCGAGCGUUGUCCGGAUUUAUUGGGCGUAAAGCGAGCGCAGGCGGUUAGAUAAGUCUGAAGUUAAAGGCAGUGGCUCAACCAUUGUAGGCUUUGGAAACUGUUUAACUUGAGUGCAGAAGGGGAGAGUGGAAUUCCAUGUGUAGCGGUGAAAUGCGUAGAUAUAUGGAGGAACACCGGUGGCGAAAGCGGCUCUCUGGUCUGUAACUGACGCUGAGGCUCGAAAGCGUGGGGAGCGAACAGG
RNAcentral lists this ribosomal RNA (252 nucleotides) under Streptococcus constellatus. RNAcentral describes it as "partial 16S ribosomal RNA". It matches the Rfam family "Bacterial small subunit ribosomal RNA", at positions 524 to 776 of the family's 1533-position model. The record is from RNAcentral. RNAcentral also lists the same sequence under 1 other name. Lineage: Bacteria; Bacillati; Bacillota; Bacilli; Lactobacillales; Streptococcaceae.